This 542-nucleotide ribosomal RNA is filed under the name Vibrio sp. VA3. Its description in RNAcentral is "bacterial SSU rRNA". It matches the Rfam family "Bacterial small subunit ribosomal RNA", at positions 1 to 522 of the family's 1533-position model. Lineage: Bacteria; Pseudomonadati; Pseudomonadota; Gammaproteobacteria; Vibrionales; Vibrionaceae. The record is from RNAcentral.
AAAUUGAAGAGUUUGAUCAUGGCUCAGAUUGAACGCUGGCGGCAGGCCUAACACAUGCAAGUCGAGCGGAAACGAGUUAUCUGAACCUUCGGGGAACGAUAACGGCGUCGAGCGGCGGACGGGUGAGUAAUGCCUAGGAAAUUGCCCUGAUGUGGGGGAUAACCAUUGGAAACGAUGGCUAAUACCGCAUGAUGCCUACGGGCCAAAGAGGGGGACCUUCGGGCCUCUCGCGUCAGGAUAUGCCUAGGUGGGAUUAGCUAGUUGGUGAGGUAAGGGCUCACCAAGGCAACGAUCCCUAGCUGGUCUGAGAGGAUGAUCAGCCACACUGGAACUGAGACACGGUCCAGACUCCUACGGGAGGCAGCAGUGGGGAAUAUUGCACAAUGGGCGCAAGCCUGAUGCAGCCAUGCCGCGUGUGUGAAGAAGGCCUUCGGGUUGUAAAGCACUUUCAGUCGUGAGGAAGGUAGUGUAGUUAAUAGCUGCAUUAUUUGACGUUAGCGACAGAAGAAGCACCGGCUAACUCCGUGCCAGCAGCCGCGGUA